UGUAGUAGAAGUCACACUUUGAAGAGUUCACGUUGCAUAGAAAGACGAUGAAAUGCUAUAUGUUGAGUCCAUCAUUGCUCCAUUGGAGACAGAGCUGAAGCUUGCUGCAGGUAACCAAGUUGCAGGAUGAAAACAGAACACUUGAUCUACAUGUAAACCUUCAAUUUCCAUAUGAAGUUUGCAUUUUCGUUGUUUCUGGAAUUUGAGUUUUUGCAGGAUGAAAACAGAACACUUGAUCUGCAGGCAAAACAAAGACGUUUGCAAGGGAGCAACCCUGGGUUUAUUUGUUCUUUUACUACUGGUCAUUGCCGCAUAUCACGCCUAUAGCACUGACAAAAGUAAAAAGAAAAUCGAAUGAAAUUUGGUAAGUUUUCAGCGGACUACAAAGAUCUUAAGCCAAGCAUAUAUUCCCAUUCAGAUAUUAAGAGGUUUACAAAUCAAUUCAAGUACAAGUUGGGCCAAGGAGCAUACAUAAUUGUUUUUAAAGGAUAGUUUUUUUCUGAAUGCUUUGUUGCCAUGAAAGUACUUAACAUUUCCAAGGGUGACGGGGAAGAGCUUGUAAAUGAAGUGGGGAACAAUGGGCCAUAUUCACCAUGUCAAUGUGGUUCACUUGGUUGGUUUUUGUGCUGAUGGAUUUAGAUGAGCUCUGGUUUAUGAGUUCUUUUCCUUUGGUUCACUCCAGGAUUAUAUUUCAUCAGUAGAUAGAUUUCUUUCCUUGGUUGGCAUAAGUUGCAAGAUAUUGCUAUCAGCAUAGCCAAAGGAACCAGGGAUGUGAUCUACAAAUCCUCCAUUUCGAUAUCAAACCCCAUAAUGU
Malus domestica (apple) is the source of this 814-nucleotide long non-coding RNA. RefSeq lists it as uncharacterized. The record is from RefSeq and is a predicted model, not a curated record. Lineage: Eukaryota; Viridiplantae; Streptophyta; Magnoliopsida; Rosales; Rosaceae.